CAUAAAUGAACUAUACCCGCUCAUAUAAUCGUGGGAUUUGGUCUGCAUGUUUCUACCGGACUAUCGUAAAUGGCUCGACUAUGAGUGAACAACAGUGCGGU
Molecule: non-coding RNA, 101 nt
Filed under: Domibacillus aminovorans
Lineage: Bacteria; Bacillati; Bacillota; Bacilli; Caryophanales; Bacillaceae
Description: Bacillus aminovorans Guanine sequence
Rfam family: Purine riboswitch aptamer
About the family: Riboswitches are metabolite binding domains within certain messenger RNAs that serve as precision sensors for their corresponding targets. Allosteric rearrangement of mRNA structure is mediated by ligand binding, and this results in modulation of gene expression.
Source: RNAcentral